GGCCUUGUUUGGUACUAGUGUAUUUUAGGGAAUUUGUGGGGAUUAUCCUGGUCAAACCCCUCAAUCCCCACACAUCCCAUAACACCAUUUGGUUCUAGUGUAUUUGACAUGUUUCAUCCCCACAUUUCCCCUCAAAUCCCCAAAUUAUAAUGCAUUUUUCUCAAUACCCAAUACACUACCCCUACCUAGUGUAUUGGGGAUAAAUGGGGAUUUGGAGGGAUUGGGUAAAGGUUGGGGUUUCACCCAAUCCCUUGG
This 255-nucleotide long non-coding RNA is filed under the name Hordeum vulgare. RNAcentral describes it as "long non-coding RNA (HVUL_LNC018171)". The record is from RNAcentral. Lineage: Eukaryota; Viridiplantae; Streptophyta; Magnoliopsida; Poales; Poaceae.